Molecule: long non-coding RNA, 358 nt
Filed under: Prunus persica (peach)
Lineage: Eukaryota; Viridiplantae; Streptophyta; Magnoliopsida; Rosales; Rosaceae
Description: long non-coding RNA (PPER_LNC007932)
Source: RNAcentral
UUGUCUCUGGCAGAGUUUUUUUAACCAAUUCACUAGCUUCAAUGAUCUUCCAUAUAGGAAUGAUCCUCUUCCUCUUCUGUAAUUGGACCCCUUGUUCCACAGCUUUACUUUCAUCAUUCAAUCAAACGUUUAACUGAGAUAGCAUAGCUGUAGGUUGAUCCAAAUCAAUGUCCCUGAGAGUAAACUCAACCUUUGUCCCCUCCGUGCUCUCGCCAAUGUCAUCGCCAAGCAACAUAACUUCAUCAUCGUCUUCCUCACAUUGGUUUCUUUGCACUUCCUUUUCCUCACUUCUUUGUCUUUUCACUUCCUUACCCUCCCUUCUUUUUCUUUGCGGAUCCUCUCCCUCACUGCUUUUUCU